This 207-nucleotide long non-coding RNA is filed under the name Mus spicilegus (steppe mouse). Its description in RNAcentral is "lncRNA (ENSMSIG00000027307.1)". Lineage: Eukaryota; Metazoa; Chordata; Mammalia; Rodentia; Muridae. The record is from RNAcentral.
AUAGAAAGGGCCUGGAAAGUCUCAUUCAUGUAUAUAUAGGCCCUUUCUUGUCUACAGUACUCCCUGGAAGAUUCUCCCAAGCAAGUCCAUUUUAACAGAGAUCUUUGCUGUAAGGAGACAAGCAUGGGUUCCAAGGACAAGCAAGGUAUCAAUUCCAUUUUGCAGACCCACACUGUCAAUGCCCAGUGUGUGGUAGACUUGGCAGAU